UUAGAUGAUGGGGUCGAUAAGCAGAUGGUCUCAUAAUUUCACUCUAGCUCAGACUUGUUACUGACAAAAUGCAGAUGAUCCUGUGUAUGUCAUGCUUUAGUCUUGAAGGUCCAAAACGAAGAUUACAUAACUAAGGAUGUCAGAGCCUAUGAAUUCUGCAUCAGUGUGCGUGAAUAAUGUCAAGCUAUGUUCCUAAAGAGCUUGAACUUGAAGGGUCUUUAGAAUGUUGAGUCAUUCAACAAAGAAAGAGAGAUAUAGUAUUUGGAAAGAAACCAUUUUUUGUUCCCUUGUCCUUUUUGUGCUUGAUGACGCUACUUUUCUUUUGAUAGCAUGUAUCUGGACCUUCCUAUCGUAGUUUACUCCUUGUAUCUGUGAUCUUUAUAUGUUUCCAUCAUCUGUGGCCGUCCCAUGAUUGGCAGGUGUAACUGUAGUUGAUUUAUUUUUUAUGUGUCUCAAUUUAUUGAGUUUUUUAUUUGUAA
Syzygium oleosum is the source of this 479-nucleotide long non-coding RNA. RefSeq lists it as uncharacterized. Lineage: Eukaryota; Viridiplantae; Streptophyta; Magnoliopsida; Myrtales; Myrtaceae. The record is from RefSeq and is a predicted model, not a curated record. The transcript has 2 exons.